Molecule: ribosomal RNA, 998 nt
Filed under: Trametes versicolor
Lineage: Eukaryota; Fungi; Basidiomycota; Agaricomycetes; Polyporales; Polyporaceae
Description: eukaryotic LSU rRNA
Rfam family: 5.8S ribosomal RNA (bases 254-407)
Source: RNAcentral
CUUGGUCAUUUAGAGGAAGUAAAAGUCGUAACAAGGUUUCCGUAGGUGAACCUGCGGAAGGAUCAUUAACGAGUUUUGAAACGAGUUGUAGCUGGCCUUCCGAGGCAUGUGCACGCUCUGCUCAUCCACUCUACCCCUGUGCACUUACUGUAGGUUGGCGUGGGCUCCUUAACGGGAGCAUUCUGCCGGCCUAUGUAUACUACAAACACUUUAAAGUAUCAGAAUGUAAACGCGUCUAACGCAUCUAUAAUACAACUUUUAGCAACGGAUCUCUUGGCUCUCGCAUCGAUGAAGAACGCAGCGAAAUGCGAUAAGUAAUGUGAAUUGCAGAAUUCAGUGAAUCAUCGAAUCUUUGAACGCACCUUGCGCUCCUUGGUAUUCCGAGGAGCAUGCCUGUUUGAGUGUCAUGGAAUUCUCAACUUAUAAAUCCUUGUGAUCUAUAAGCUUGGACUUGGAGGCUUGCUGGCCCUUGUUGGUCGGCUCCUCUUGAAUGCAUUAGCUCGAUUCCGUACGGAUCGGCUCUCAGUGUGAUAAUUGUCUACGCUGUGACCGUGAAGUGUUUUGGCGAGCUUCUAACCGUCCAUUAGGACAACUUUUUAACAUCUGACCUCAAAUCAGGUAGGACUACCCGCUGAACUUAAGCAUAUCAAUAAGCGGAGGAAAAGAAACUAACAAGGAUUCCCCUAGUAACUGCGAGUGAAGCGGGAAAAGCUCAAAUUUAAAAUCUGGCGGUCUUUGGCCGUCCGAGUUGUAGUCUGGAGAAGCGUCUUCCGCGCUGGACCGUGUACAAGUCUCCUGCUGACCUCAAAUCAGGUAGGACUACCCGCUGAACUUAAGCAUAUCAAUAAGCGGAGGAAAAGAAACUAACAAGGAUUCCCCUAUGUAACUGCGAGUGAAGCGGGAAAAGCUCAAAUUAAAAUCUGGCGGUUCUUUGGCCGUCCGAGUUGUAGUCUGGAGAAGCGUCUUCCGCGCUGGACCGUGUACAAGUCUCCUGAAAA